This 256-nucleotide ribosomal RNA is filed under the name uncultured Pseudomonas sp. RNAcentral describes it as "partial 16S ribosomal RNA". It matches the Rfam family "Bacterial small subunit ribosomal RNA", at positions 96 to 354 of the family's 1533-position model. Lineage: Bacteria; Pseudomonadati; Pseudomonadota; Gammaproteobacteria; Pseudomonadales; Pseudomonadaceae. The record is from RNAcentral.
CGGCGGACGGGUGAGUAAUGCCUAGGAAUCUGCCUGGUAGUGGGGGACAACGUUUCGAAAGGAACGCUAAUACCGCAUACGUCCUACGGGAGAAAGCAGGGACCUUCGGGCCUUGCGCUAUCAGAUGAGCCUAGGUCGGAUUAGCUAGUUGGUGAGGUAAUGGCUCACCAAGGCGACGAUCCGUAACUGGUCUGAGAGGAUGAUCAGUCACACUGGAACUGAGAAACGGUCCAGACUCCUACGGGAGGCAGCAGAC